RNAcentral lists this ribosomal RNA (449 nucleotides) under uncultured bacterium. Its description in RNAcentral is "bacterial SSU rRNA". It matches the Rfam family "Bacterial small subunit ribosomal RNA", at positions 355 to 796 of the family's 1533-position model. The record is from RNAcentral.
UGGGGAAUUUUGGACAAUGGGGGCAACCCUGAUCCAGCAAUGCCGCGUGUGUGAAGAAGGCCUUCGGGUUGUAAAGCACUUUUGUCCGGAAAGAAAUCCCUUGCCCUAAUACGGCGGGGGGAUGACGGUACCGGAAGAAUAAGCACCGGCUAACUACGUGCCAGCAGCCGCGGUAAUACGUAGGGUGCGAGCGUUAAUCGGAAUUACUGGGCGUAAAGCGUGCGCAGGCGGUUUUGUAAGACAGGCGUGAAAUCCCCGAGCUCAACUUGGGAAUGGCGCUUGUGACUGCAAGGCUAGAGUAUGUCAGAGGGGGGUAGAAUUCCACGUGUAGCAGUGAAAUGCGUAGAGAUGUGGAGGAAUACCGAUGGCGAAGGCAGCCCCCUGGGACGUCACUGACGCUCAUGCACGAAAGCGUGGGGAGCAAACAGGAUUAGAUACCCCCGUAGUCC